Molecule: ribosomal RNA, 437 nt
Filed under: uncultured bacterium
Lineage: Bacteria
Description: bacterial SSU rRNA
Rfam family: Bacterial small subunit ribosomal RNA
Source: RNAcentral
GACGAACGCUGGCGGCGCGCCUAACACAUGCAAGUCGAGCGGGAAACUUUUUAAGGAUUCUUCGGAUGAAUUAAAAAGUGGAGAGCGGCGGACGGGUGAGUAAUGCUUGGGAAUUUGCCUUUGGGAGGGGGAUAACCACUGGAAACGGUGGCUAAUACCGCAUAACGUCUACGGACCAAAGGGGGCUUAGGCUCCCACCUAUAGAGAAGCCCAAGUGAGAUUAGCUAGUUGGUGAGGUAAAGGCUCACCAAGGCGACGAUCUCUAGCUGUUCUGGGAGGAAGAUCAGCCACACUGGAACUGAGACACGGUCCAGACUCCUACGGGAGGCAGCAGUGGGGAAUAUUGCACAAUGGGGGAACCCUGAUGCAGCCAUGCCGCGUGUGUGAAGAAGGCCUUCGGGUUGUAAGCACUUUCAGUAGAGAGGAAAGUAGAUAUU